RNAcentral lists this ribosomal RNA (490 nucleotides) under uncultured bacterium. RNAcentral describes it as "partial 16S ribosomal RNA". It matches the Rfam family "Bacterial small subunit ribosomal RNA", at positions 30 to 507 of the family's 1533-position model. The record is from RNAcentral.
AUUGAACGCUGGCGGCAGGCCUAACACAUGCAAGUCGAACGGUAACAGGAAACAGCUUGCUGUUUCGCUGACGAGUGGCGGACGGGUGAGUAAUGUCUGGGAAACUGCCUGAUGGAGGGGGAUAACUACUGGAAACGGUAGCUAAUACCGCAUAACGUCGCAAGACCAAAGAGGGGGACCUUCGGGCCUCUUGCCAUCGGAUGUGCCCAGAUGGGAUUAGCUAGUAGGUGGGGUAACGGCUCACCUAGGCGACGAUCCCUAGCUGGUCUGAGAGGAUGACCAGCCAAACUGGAACUGAGACACGGUCCAGACUCCUACGGGAGGCAGCAGUGGGGAAUAUUGCACAAUGGGCGCAAGCCUGAUGCAGCCAUGCCGCGUGUAUGAAGAAGGCCUUCGGGUUGUAAAGUACUUUCAGCGGGGAGGAAGGGAGUAAAGUUAAUACCUUUACUCAUUGACGUUACCCGCAGAAGAAGCACCGGCUAACUCCGUG